RNAcentral lists this non-coding RNA (27 nucleotides) under Homo sapiens (human). The record is from RNAcentral. Lineage: Eukaryota; Metazoa; Chordata; Mammalia; Primates; Hominidae.
UACAAAUGGAGCCAUAUAGAAACGAGC